Molecule: long non-coding RNA, 467 nt
Filed under: Bos taurus (domestic cattle)
Lineage: Eukaryota; Metazoa; Chordata; Mammalia; Artiodactyla; Bovidae
Description: long non-coding RNA NONBTAT018494
Source: RNAcentral
CUCAUUGUUUCAUUUAUCAUACAUAGUGAUAAAUAAAACUCUUUUUCCUUCUUGCUGUCUGGUUGAAUGUUACUUCAUACAAAAGUUUUCUGGAAUAAUAAUUCAAACUUUAUCAACAUGUUAAAGUUGUCUAUGUGAAUAGUAAAAGUACAAGUGUCAGAAUGAAAAGAGCAAUAUUUGGGGGAAAAUUAAUUUGAUCUUGGUCCUAUUAAGUAUUUGUAACAUUGUAUCCUCUAAAUAUCUACAAAAUAAUGUAAUGUUUAUUGCACCUUAUGGAAAUUGAAUGUUCUAGCAUACAAUACAGUCACCACCUAUCAUAUCAUGACUUUUUCCUAUUUCAUCCCAAUAUAAACAAAUAUCUAUUCCUUUUACCUUAAAAAUACAUAUAUCCUUGUAUGCUUUUCUUUUAUUAUAGAAAAGAAUUAGUGAAGCUGCUAUACAAUGCCCUUGUUUUCAGAUAAAGAAAG